CGCCACGGAUGGGCCGGCGCCGGUAGGCCACCGUGGGUUCCGCGUUGAGUAGCGCAGCUACAACCAGGUGAGGACGCCAGAGCUUCCACAUCGUCGUCAUCGUCGCCGGGACGCCUCAAAGGACACAAUUGAUGACAUGAGUGGUCGUGCAUUUGGGCUGCCUUGAACACAUAAGAGUCCGAUAUGGAUGCACCGUAAAGUUUCAUCCAGUGAGCAGCUCCCCACAAUUGGCGAGUCAACAAAAUCCUUUGUGUUCCCAUCCUUCCAUAAGCUCCAUGCCUGCAUCCAUUCUCUUCCCUUUCAAGAUGCAUAUAUUUACUGUACUUGCAGAAAUUCAAACAUGACAUGUUGUUUCAGUAGUUCCUGUACACAAUUCUAAUGUGGAACAUUGCAUUGAUUGGGUGUCAGUCACCUGUUUUUAGCCUUGUCCAACGAAACAGGCCUGGAAGGUGGGGUCUGUUGUAGCGGUUUUGUUGCCGACACUGACCAUGACUGCCCCAGCUACUUCUGAUGGGGCGUCCACAGUGACAAUCUCAUCCGUACUGGUAGCAAGGGAGUUUCCACUUAAAGGAGCACCCUGAAUGUACGUGUCAAGAAUGAAGACAACAAUAGAUUGUUGUGCAUACGUCAAAUUGUACCAUCAAAAUUAGAAGUGGUGUGUGUUUUGCUAGACUACAUUUGAGGAAGAACAUUUGGAGUUUUAGCCAACCCAUGAUGAUAACCUGCAUCAGUUAUGUUCAAGUCUGCCAAGAACAACAUCGACGAUAUUACUCCAAACUUGAACAUAUUGUUUUGCUACACAGAUAUCUCCUCCACCAACAAAAGCUAGAGUUAAAUACUCAUACGUUUACUGUCUAUAUAUCAAGGAGUAUAUCUCAAGAAGCUAUAUUCCGGAUAUGCGUAGAUCUACUCAGAACUCUUCCCACGGAUCGAUGACAUGGCGCCCAUCCAUCCAUCCAUCUAUCUCACCAUCUCACAUCCAUC
Long non-coding RNA from Hordeum vulgare subsp. vulgare (domesticated barley), 984 nucleotides. RefSeq lists it as uncharacterized. Lineage: Eukaryota; Viridiplantae; Streptophyta; Magnoliopsida; Poales; Poaceae. The transcript is spliced from 2 exons. The record is from RefSeq and is a predicted model, not a curated record.